RNAcentral lists this ribosomal RNA (274 nucleotides) under uncultured bacterium. Its description in RNAcentral is "partial 16S ribosomal RNA". It matches the Rfam family "Bacterial small subunit ribosomal RNA", at positions 523 to 796 of the family's 1533-position model. The record is from RNAcentral.
AUACGGAGGGGGUUAGCGUUGUUCGGAAUUACUGGGCGUAAAGCGUACGUAGGCGGAUUGGAAAGUAUGGGGUGAAAUCCCAGGGCUCAACCCUGGAACUGCCUCAUAAACUCCCAGUCUAGAGUUCGUGAGAGGUGAGUGGAAUUCCGAGUGUAGAGGUGAAAUUCGUAGAUAUUCGGAGGAAAACCAGUGGCGAAGGCGGCUCACUGGCUCGAUACUGACGCUGAGGUACGAAAGUGUGGGGAGCAAACAGGAUUAGAUACACUAGUAGUCC